AUACCCCUAAUAAUUAUUAUAUUUGUUUUUUUUGUGAUUUGACAAGAUAGUCAAAAUAUCUGAUACGUCCCCCCAUAGGGGGACAGUCUAUAUUAAAUGGAUUUUUGGAAGAGGGAGAUGGAAGCGGGGCUUGCUCCGACCACUCCACGCAUCGACCCGGUAUUGCAGAACCUCCGGGAACGGUGCACAGUUC
Molecule: small nuclear RNA, 193 nt
Organism: Polyodon spathula (Mississippi paddlefish)
Lineage: Eukaryota; Metazoa; Chordata; Actinopteri; Acipenseriformes; Polyodontidae
Product: U2 spliceosomal RNA
Exons: 1
Source: RefSeq, a predicted model, not a curated record